This 103-nucleotide small RNA is filed under the name Epilithonimonas hungarica. RNAcentral's name for it is "Chryseobacterium hungaricum Flavo-1 RNA". It matches the Rfam family "Flavo-1 RNA". Lineage: Bacteria; Pseudomonadati; Bacteroidota; Flavobacteriia; Flavobacteriales; Weeksellaceae. The record is from RNAcentral.
CCCUAGCCCCGAUUGCAGUGGAAAUCCUUUUUUGCAUUGUCUUCAGGCUCUACUUAAUGGAAAUCGUCGGCAAAAAAGAUUGCAACGGAAAGCGGGAAACAGC